Molecule: ribosomal RNA, 497 nt
Filed under: uncultured bacterium
Lineage: Bacteria
Description: partial 16S ribosomal RNA
Rfam family: Bacterial small subunit ribosomal RNA
Source: RNAcentral
GAUGAACGCUGGCGGCGUGCCUAAUACAUGCAAGUCGAGCGAACAGAUGAGGAGCUUGCUCCUCUGACGUUAGCGGCGGACGGGUGAGUAACACGUGGAUAACCUACCUAUAAGACUGGGAUAACUUCGGGAAACCGGAGCUAAUACCGGAUAAUAUAUUGAACCGCAUGGUUCAAUAGUGAAAGACGGUUUUGCUGUCACUUAUAGAUGGAUCCGCGCCGCAUUAGCUAGUUGGUAAGUUAACGGCUUACCAAGGCAACGAUGCGUAGCCGACCUGAGAGGGGGGUCGGCCGCACUGGAACGGAGACACGGUCCAGACUCCUACGGGAGGCAGCAGUAGGGAAUCUUCCGCAAUGGGCGAAAGCCUGACGGAGCAACGCCGCGUGAGUGAUGAAGGUCUUCGGAUCGUAAAACUCUGUUAUUAGGGAAGAACAAAUGUGUAAGUAACUAUGCACGUCUUGACGGUACCUAAUCAGAAAGCCACGGCUAACUACGUG